This 489-nucleotide ribosomal RNA is filed under the name Staphylococcus aureus. RNAcentral describes it as "partial 23S ribosomal RNA". It matches the Rfam family "Bacterial large subunit ribosomal RNA", at positions 953 to 1447 of the family's 2925-position model. The record is from RNAcentral. Lineage: Bacteria; Bacillati; Bacillota; Bacilli; Caryophanales; Staphylococcaceae.
ACUCCGAAUGCCAAUUAAUUUAACUUGGGAGUCAGAACAUGGGUGAUAAGGUCCGUGUUCGAAAGGGAAACAGCCCAGACCACCAGCUAAGGUCCCAAAAUAUAUGUUAAGUGGAAAAGGAUGUGGCGUUGCCCAGACAACUAGGAUGUUGGCUUAGAAGCAGCCAUCAUUUAAAGAGUGCGUAAUAGCUCACUAGUCGAGUGACACUGCGCCGAAAAUGUACCGGGGCUAAACAUAUUACCGAAGCUGUGGAUUGUCCUUUGGACAAUGGUAGGAGAGCGUUCUAAGGGCGUUGAAGCAUGAUCGUAAGGACAUGUGGAGCGCUUAGAAGUGAGAAUGCCGGUGUGAGUAGCGAAAGACGGGUGAGAAUCCCGUCCACCGAUUGACUAAGGUUUCCAGAGGAAGGCUCGUCCGCUCUGGGUUAGUCGGGUCCUAAGCUGAGGCCGACAGGCGUAGGCGAUGGAUAACAGGUUGAUAUUCCUGUACCAC